GGAGAGGUCGCAUAGUGGUCUAGUGCGGAUGUCUUGAAAACAUCUGAGGGUGCAAGCCUUCCGCGGGUUCGAAUCCCGCCCUCUCCGCCA
Molecule: transfer RNA, 90 nt
Filed under: Candidatus Levyibacteriota bacterium
Lineage: Bacteria; Candidatus Levyibacteriota
Description: tRNA-Ser
Rfam family: tRNA
About the family: Transfer RNA (tRNA) molecules are approximately 80 nucleotides in length. Their secondary structure includes four short double-helical elements and three loops (D, anti-codon, and T loops).
Source: RNAcentral